Molecule: ribosomal RNA, 459 nt
Filed under: uncultured Desulfovibrio sp.
Lineage: Bacteria; Pseudomonadati; Thermodesulfobacteriota; Desulfovibrionia; Desulfovibrionales; Desulfovibrionaceae
Description: bacterial SSU rRNA
Rfam family: Bacterial small subunit ribosomal RNA
Source: RNAcentral
CACAAGCGGUGGAGUAUGUGGUUUAAUUCGAUGCAACGCGAAGAACCUUACCUAGGUUUGACAUCCGGAAAACCUUCCCGAAAAGGAAGGGUGCCCUUCGGGGAAUUCCGAGACAGGUGCUGCAUGGCUGUCGUCAGCUCGUGCCGUGAGGUGUGGGUUAAGUCCCGCAACGAGCGCAACCCUAUUGCCAGUUGCUACCAGGUAAUGCUGGGCACUCUGGUGAGACUGCCCCGGUUAACGGGGAGGAAGGUGGGGACGACGUCAAGUCAUCAUGGCCCUUACGCCUAGGGCUACACACGUACUACAAUGGCGCAUACAAAGGGCAGCGAUACCGCGAGGUGGAGCCAAUCCCAAAAAGUGCGUCCCAGUCCGGAUUGCAGUCUGCAACUCGACUGCAUGAAGUUGGAAUCGCUAGUAAUUCGAGAUCAGCAUGCUCGGGUGAAUGCGUUCCCGGGCCUU